Molecule: ribosomal RNA, 1902 nt
Filed under: human gut metagenome
Description: bacterial LSU rRNA
Rfam family: Bacterial large subunit ribosomal RNA
Source: RNAcentral
GGGGGGACCACCCUCCAACCCUAAAUACUACCCAGUGACCGAUAGCGUAUAGUACUGUGAAGGAAAGGUGAAAAGGACCCCGGGAGGGGAGUGAAAUAGAACCUGAAACCUUGUGCCUACAAGCACAUAGAGCACAUCAACGUGUGAUAUGGUACUUUUUGUAGAACGGUCCGGCGAGCGAUUGUAUGUUGCGAGCUUAAGGUCUUAAGGACUGGAGGCGUAGCGAGAGCGAGUCUGAACAGGGCGUUCAGUAGCAUGCAAUGGGCCCGAAACCGGGUGACCUACCCAUGAUCAGGCUGAAGUGAAAGUAAAAUUUCAUGGAGGGCCGAACCGACCUCCGUUGAAAAGGCGGCGGAUGAAUUGUGGGUAGCGGAGAAAUUCCAAUCGAACUCGGAGAUAGCUGGUUCUCCCCGAAAUAGCUUUAGGGCUAGCCUCAUAUUAGAUACCCGGAGGUAAAGCACUGAAUGGCCUAGCGCCCGAGAGGGUAGCGAAGCCUAUCAAACUAAGAAUGCCGGAGUAUUGAUGUAUGGGAGUCAGACAGUGUGAGAUAAAUCUCAUUGUCAAAAGGGAAACAGCCCAGAUCUACAGCUAAGGUCCCAAAUUGUAUCUAAGUGGAAAACGAUGUGGAAAUACGCAGACAACCAGGAUGUUGGCUCAGAAGCAGCCACUCAUUUAAAGAGUGCGUAAUAGCUCACUGGUCGAGCGUCUCUGCGCGGAAAAUUUAACGGGGCUAAGAUACAAACCGAAGCUUAGGCUGCAUCGUAAGAUGCGGGGUAGGGGAGCGUUGUGUAAGCGGAGAAACAGUAGCGUAAGCGGCUGUGGAGUUUACAGAAGUGAGAAUGCCGGAAUGAGUAGCGCGAAUGUGGUGAGAAUCCACAUGGCCGGAAACCUCAGGUUUUUGGAGGAAGGUUCGUCCGCUCCAAGUUAGGCGGGAGCUAAGGUGAGGCCGAAAGGCGUAGCCGAUGCACAGACGGUAGAGAUUCCGUCCCCACCGAAAGAUUUAAGCGCAGGGACACUUUUAGAAGGUCGGAGCCAGGUGUUGGUUCUGGUAGAGAUCGAGGGAAGAUUAGUACCGAAGUCCGGCUGGAUAAGAGGCGAGAAAAGCUGCGUGUAUAUCUAAGGUGCCCGUACCGCAAACCGACACAGGUAGGUAGGAAGAAGAUUCUAAGGCCAACGGGAGAAGGGUUGUUAAGGAACUCGGCAAGUUGACCCCGUAACUUCGGAAUAAGGGGUGCUCAUGAAAGUGAGCCGCAGAGAAUAGGCCCAGGCAACUGUUUACCAAAAACACAGGUUUGUGCUAAAUCGAAAGAUGACGUAUACGAGCUGACGCCUGCCCGGUGCUGGAAGGUUAAGAGGAGAUGUGCAAGCAUUGAAUCGAAGCCCCAGUGAACGGCGGCCGUAACUAUAACGGUCCUAAGGUAGCGAAAUUCCUUGUCAGGUAAGUUCUGACCCGCACGAAAGGCGUAAUGAUUUGGGCACUGUCUCAACAGCCCGCCCGGCGAAAUUGUAGUACCGGUGAAGAUGCCGGUUACCCGCGACAAGACGGAAAGACCCCAUGGAGCUUUACUGUAGCCUAAUAUUGGGUUUCGAUGUUGCAUGCACAGGAUAGAUGGGACACAGGGAAACAAGUGCUUUGGCAUUUGUGGAGUGGCCGUUGGGAUACCAUCCUUGCGAUAUUGGAAUUCUAACCUGCGCCUUUGAAUCAAGGCGGGGGACAUUGUUAGGUGGGCAGUUUGACUGGGGCGGUCGCCUCCUAAAGAGUAACGGAGGCGUUCAAAGGUUCGCUCAGCUUGAACGGAAAUCAAGCAAAAGAGUGCAAACGCAGAAGCGAGCCUAACUGCGAGACUGACGGGUCGAGCAGUAACGAAAGUUGGAGUUAGUGAUCCGGUGGUAUGUGAGUGG